Molecule: long non-coding RNA, 267 nt
Filed under: Medicago truncatula (barrel medic)
Lineage: Eukaryota; Viridiplantae; Streptophyta; Magnoliopsida; Fabales; Fabaceae
Description: long non-coding RNA (MTRU_LNC002129)
Source: RNAcentral
GUGUUAUGAGUUUCAAUGUAAGAUAAAGCCUUGUUCAAAUCCUCAAAGUUUGAGUUAUGUUCCUUGCAAGCCACAUUGGGGGAACAAACAAAACAAUGCCCCUGCUUCUCAAGAAAUGGCUACUGAGCCUGUUACUUACAAGUCUCUCAAUCCACAUCGGUUGAGACCUUGAUCAAGUGGUUUUCGAUCGGGUGAUUCGUCGUCUACAUUGCACUGAUACUUCAAAUCGAAGAUGUGUCAAGUGUUGUUGACACAGACACAAAGUCG